GACGGAGGGGGCUAGCGUUGUUCGGAAUUACUGGGCGUAAAGGGCGCGUAGGCGGACUAGUAAGUUGGGAGUGAAAGCCCGGGGCUUAACCUCGGAACUGCUUUCAAAACUGCUAGUCUUGAGUGAAGUAGGGGAAGAUGGAAUUCCUAGUGUAGAGGUGAAAUUCUUAGAUAUUAGGAGGAACACCGGUGGCGAAGGCGGUCAUCUGGACUUCAACUGACGCUGAGGCGCGAAAGCGUGGGGAGCAAACAGG
Molecule: ribosomal RNA, 253 nt
Filed under: uncultured bacterium
Lineage: Bacteria
Description: partial 16S ribosomal RNA
Rfam family: Bacterial small subunit ribosomal RNA
Source: RNAcentral